RNAcentral lists this small RNA (562 nucleotides) under Pongo abelii (Sumatran orangutan). RNAcentral describes it as "retained intron". The record is from RNAcentral. Lineage: Eukaryota; Metazoa; Chordata; Mammalia; Primates; Hominidae.
CCAGUCCUGACGGAUGAGCAGAAGUCCCGAAUCCAGGCCAUGAAGCCCAUGACCAAGGAGGAGUGGGAUGCCCGGCAGAGCAUCAUCCGCAAGGUGGUGGACCCCGAGACGGGGCGCACCAGGCUUAUUAAGGGAGAUGGCGAGGUCCUAGAGGAAAUCGUAACCAAAGAACGACACAGAGAGAUCAACAAGGUGGGUGUGGCCCCUCUGCCUGCCAUCCGCCCCCAGCUCUGUUUGUGAUGUACCCCUCCUCCUGUGUGCUUUCUUCCCCAGCAAGCCACCCGAGGGGACGGCCUGGCCUUCCAGAUGCGAGCUGGGUUGCUUCCCUGAGGGCCCCCGUUGGCCAAGGCCUGUGGACGGUGCUGGCGGCCCAGCCUGGGCAGGUUUCAGGGUGCCAGUGGGAAGCCUGAUGGGUGCUGGUGGCCUUUCCCCCGUGGAUUGGCCUCUGGGCCAGCCCAGCCUCUUCUCAGGGGCAGGGGGUGGAGGUUGAGGUCACCGGCCUGCUUGGCACCCCUAUCUGAAAGAGCAACACUUUUCAGCUAUUAAAGGCCCUCUGGAUAGA